Molecule: ribosomal RNA, 510 nt
Filed under: Triticum aestivum (bread wheat)
Lineage: Eukaryota; Viridiplantae; Streptophyta; Magnoliopsida; Poales; Poaceae
Description: partial small subunit ribosomal RNA
Source: RNAcentral
AUGAUCGACCGAACUCGGGUUGCAGCAUUUCCAAAAAUGGAGUGUCACUGGAGUGCCAGAGGCGAGCGGAGGAGAGUCCAUCGGUGUCAACCUCGUGCACGACCUGGCCGGGUGCUGCCGGAUGAGCUCACGUCCGGGCUUUACUCCAUCCCGCGUUCCACAUUGUCAAGGUGGUCAAGGAUAUGGACACCGCGAAUGGCAAAUCCUGUCAAAGCGAACUUGCAUGUUUGCAUGUGUUUCCAACAGGCGAUAAGGUCCAUGAGAUUCGUGUGUGUGCUAGCUUGUGCGCCUACCUACGCCACUGCGUCGUCGACUAUUAUCAGGCUCAUGCGAUGCCGCCGCUCCCCCAUAACGGGUGGCAUGCGGAGCUGCCUAGCCAACGAUCCGGCGUCCCCGCUUACUUCCAACCAGGGCCGCUGGCAACCCGUAGCUGACGACGUCCCGCACACGACGAUCGAAGAUCAGAAGCGGGUUUCAUCACAGGAGAAGCACGCGCCUGCGAACGUCUAG